This 468-nucleotide ribosomal RNA is filed under the name uncultured bacterium. Its description in RNAcentral is "SSU rRNA". It matches the Rfam family "Bacterial small subunit ribosomal RNA", at positions 26 to 518 of the family's 1533-position model. The record is from RNAcentral.
AGAGCGAACGCUGGCGGCAGGCCUAACACAUGCAAGUCGAGCGCCCCGCAAGGGGAGCGGCAGACGGGAGAGUAACACGUGGGAACGUACCCUUCAGUUCGGAACAACCCAGGGAAACUUGGGCUAAUACCGAAUACGUCCGUAAGGAGAAAGAUUUAUCGCUGAAGGAUCGGCCCGCGUCUGAUUAGCUAGUUGGUGGGGUAAUGGCCCACCAAGGCGACGAUCAGUAGCUGGUCUGAGAGGAUGAUCAGCCUCAUUGGGACUGAGACACGGCCCAAACUCCUACGGGAGGCAGCAGUGGGGAAUAUUGGACAAUGGGCGCAAGCCUGAUCCAGCCAUGCCGCGUGAGUGAAGAAGGCCUUCGGGUUGUAAAGCUCUUUUGUCCGGAAAGAAAGCUCUCGGCUAAUACCCGGGAGUUCUGACGGUACCGGAAGAAUAAGCACCGGCUAACUUCGUGCCAGCAGCCGC